UACGGAGGGUGCAAGCGUUGCUCGGAAUCACUGGGCGUAAAGGGCGUGUAGGCGGUUUCGUAUGUCUGGCGUGAAAGCCCCGGGCUCAACCCGGGAAGUGCGUUGGAAACUGCGAAACUAGAGUCUCGGAGAGGAAGGUGGAAUUCCAGGUGUAGCGGUGAAAUGCGUAGAUAUCUGGAAGAACACCGGUGGCGAAGGCGGCCUUCUGGACGAUGACUGACGCUGAGACGCGAAAGCGUGGGGAGCAAACAGG
Molecule: ribosomal RNA, 253 nt
Filed under: uncultured bacterium
Lineage: Bacteria
Description: partial 16S ribosomal RNA
Rfam family: Bacterial small subunit ribosomal RNA
Source: RNAcentral